RNAcentral lists this ribosomal RNA (460 nucleotides) under uncultured bacterium. Its description in RNAcentral is "partial 16S ribosomal RNA". It matches the Rfam family "Bacterial small subunit ribosomal RNA", at positions 338 to 795 of the family's 1533-position model. The record is from RNAcentral.
CCUACGGGUGGCAGCAGUGAGGAAUAUUGGUCAAUGGGCGCGAGCCUGAACCAGCCAAGUAGCGUGAAGGAUGACUGCCCUACGGGUUGUAAACUUCUUUUAUAUGGGAAUAAAGUGCAGUAUGUAUACUGCUUUGCAUGUACCUUAUGAAUAAGGAUCGGCUAACUCCGUGCCAGCAGCCGCGGUAAUACGGAGGAUCCGAGCGUUAUCCGGAUUUAUUGGGUUUAAAGGGAGCGUAGGCGGGUUGUUAAGUCAGUUGUGAAAGUUUGCGGCUCAACCGUAAAAUUGCAGUUGAUACUGGCAGCCUUGAGUACAGUAGAGGUAGGCGGAAUUCGUGGUGUAGCGGUGAAAUGCUUAGAUAUCACGAAGAACUCCGAUUGCGAAGGCAGCCUGCUGGACUGUAACUGACGCUGAUGCUCGAAAGUGUGGGUAUCAAACAGGAUUAGAUACCCUGGUAGUC